This 484-nucleotide ribosomal RNA is filed under the name uncultured bacterium. RNAcentral's name for it is "partial 16S ribosomal RNA". It matches the Rfam family "Bacterial small subunit ribosomal RNA", at positions 30 to 507 of the family's 1533-position model. The record is from RNAcentral.
AUUGAACGCUGGCGGCAGGCCUAACACAUGCAAGUCGAGCGGAUGAAGGGAGCUUGCUCCUGGAUUCAGCGGCGGACGGGUGAGUAAUGCCUAGGAAUCUGCCUGGUAGUGGGGGAUAACGUCCGGAAACGGGCGCUAAUACCGCAUACGUCCUGAGGGAGAAAGGGGGGGAUCUUCGGACCUCACGCUAUCAGAUGAGCCUAGGUCGGAUUAGCUAGUUGGUGGGGUAAAGGCCUACCAAGGCGACGAUCCGUAACUGGUCUGAGAGGAUGAUCAGUCACACUGGAACUGAGACACGGUCCAGACUCCUACGGGAGGCAGCAGUGGGGAAUAUUGGACAAUGGGCGAAAGCCUGAUCCAGCCAUGCCGCGUGGGUGAAGAAGGUCUUCGGAUUGUAAAGCACUUUAAGUUGGGAGGAAGGGCAGUAAGUUAAUACCUUGCUGUUUUGACGUUACCAACAGAAUAAGCACCGGCUAACUUCGUG